AUUUCUAUUAUUGCACCCUUUUCAACGGUGUAGUACGACGUCCGCUGGGGGCGUAUUGCGUAUUACGGACCUGAUUUCAAGUGCCAGUAGGAAGGCGGUGUAA
This is a long non-coding RNA of Sander lucioperca (pikeperch), 103 nucleotides long. RefSeq lists it as uncharacterized. The transcript is spliced from 3 exons. The record is from RefSeq and is a predicted model, not a curated record. NCBI's taxonomy places the organism in Eukaryota, Metazoa, Chordata, Actinopteri, Perciformes, Percidae.